UUGAACGCUGGCGGCAGGCCUAACACAUGCAAGUCGAGCGGAUGAAGGGAGCUUGCUCCUGGAUUCAGCGGCGGACGGGUGAGUAAUGCCUAGGAAUCUGCCUGUAGUGGGGGAUAACGUCCGGAAACGGGCGCUAAUACCGCAUACGUCCUGAGGGAGAAAGUGGGGGAUCCUCGGACCUCACGCUAUCAGAUGAGCCUAGGUCGGAUUAGCUAGUUGGUGGGGUAAAGGCCUACCAAGGCGACGAUCCGUAACUGGUCUGAGAGGAUGAUCAGUCACACUGGAACUGAGACACGGUCCAGACUCCUACGGGAGGCAGCAGUGGGGAAUAUUGGACAAUGGGCGAAAGCCUGAUCCAGCCAUGCCGCGUGUGUGAAGAAGGUCUUCGGAUUGUAAAGCACUUUAAGUUGGGAGGAAGGGCAGUAAGUUAAUACCUUGCUGUUUUGACGUUACCAACAGAAUAAGCACCGGCUAACUUCGUG
This 482-nucleotide ribosomal RNA is filed under the name uncultured bacterium. RNAcentral's name for it is "partial 16S ribosomal RNA". It matches the Rfam family "Bacterial small subunit ribosomal RNA", at positions 30 to 507 of the family's 1533-position model. The record is from RNAcentral.